UGCAGUCGAGGGGCAGCAUGGUCUUAGCUUGCUAAGGCCGAUGGCGACCGGCGCACGGGUGAGUAACACGUAUCCAACCUGCCGUCUACUCUUGGACAGCCUUCUGAAAGGAAGAUUAAUACAAGAUGGCAUCAUGAGUCCGCAUGUUCACAUGAUUAAAGGUAUUCCGGUAGACGAUGGGGAUGCGUUCCAUUAGAUAGUAGGCGGGGUAACGGCCCACCUAGUCUUCGAUGGAUAGGGGUUCUGAGAGGAAGGUCCCCCACAUUGGAACUGAGACACGGUCCAAACUCCUACGGGAGGCAGCAGUGAGGAAUAUUGGUCAAUGGGCGAGAGCCUGAACCAGCCAAGUAGCGUGAAGGAUGACUGCCCUAUGGGUUGUAAACUUCUUUUAUAAAGGAAUAAAGUCGGGUAUGGAUACCCGUUUGCAUGUACUUUAUGAAUAAGGAUCGGCUAACUCCGUGCCAGCAGCCGCGGUAAUACGGAGGAUCCGAGCGUUAUCCGGAUUUAUUGGGUUUAAAGGGAGCGUAGAUGGAUGUUUAAGUCAGUUGUGAAAGUUUGCGGCUCAACCGUAAAAUUGCAGUUGAUACUGGAUAUCUUGAGUGCAGUUGAGGCAGGCGGAAUUCGUGGUGUAGCGGUGAAAUGCUUAGAUAUCACGAAGAACUCCGAUUGCGAAGGCAGCCUGCUAAGCUGCAACUGACAUUGAGGCUCGAAAGUGUGGGUAUCAAACAGGAUUAGAUACCCUGGUAGUCCACACGGUAAACGAUGAAUACUCGCUGUUUGCGAUAUACGGCAAGCGGCCAAGCGAAAGCGUUAAGUAUUCCACCUGGGGAGUACGCCGGCAACGGUGAAACUCAAAGGAAUUGACGGGGGCCCGCACAAGCGGAGGAACAUGUGGUUUAAUUCGAUGAUACGCGAGGAACCUUACCCGGGCUUAAUUGCAGAUGAAUUACGGUGAAAGCCGUAAGCCGCAAG
This 972-nucleotide ribosomal RNA is filed under the name Phocaeicola vulgatus. RNAcentral's name for it is "bacterial SSU rRNA". It matches the Rfam family "Bacterial small subunit ribosomal RNA", at positions 56 to 1021 of the family's 1533-position model. Lineage: Bacteria; Pseudomonadati; Bacteroidota; Bacteroidia; Bacteroidales; Bacteroidaceae. The record is from RNAcentral.